This 253-nucleotide ribosomal RNA is filed under the name uncultured bacterium. RNAcentral's name for it is "partial 16S ribosomal RNA". It matches the Rfam family "Bacterial small subunit ribosomal RNA", at positions 524 to 776 of the family's 1533-position model. The record is from RNAcentral.
UACGAAGGGGGCUAGCGUUGUUCGGAAUUACUGGGCGUAAAGGGCGCGUAGGCGGCACGGCAAGUCGGGAGUGAAAGGCCUGGGCUCAACCGAGGAACUGCUUUCGAGACUGCCGAGCUAGAGUGCGGAAGGGGCAACUGGAAUUCCCAGUGUAGCGGUGAAAUGCGUAGAUAUUGGGAAGAACACCGGAGGCGAAGGCGGGUUGCUGGGCCGACACUGACGCUGAGGCGCGAAAGCCAGGGGAGCAAACGGG